UACAGAGGUCUCAAGCGUUGUUCGGAUUCAUUGGGCGUAAAGGGUGCGUAGGUGGCGAGGCAAGUCAGAUGUGAAAUCCCGGGGCUCAACCCCGGAACUGCAUUUGAAACUGCCUUGCUCGAGUACUGGAGAGGAGACUGGAAUUUACGGGUGUAGCAGUGAAAUGCGUAGAUAUCGUAAGGAAGACCAGUGGCGAAGGCGAGUCUCUGGACAGUUACUGACACUGAGGCACGAAGGCCAGGGGAGCAAACGGG
Molecule: ribosomal RNA, 254 nt
Filed under: uncultured bacterium
Lineage: Bacteria
Description: partial 16S ribosomal RNA
Rfam family: Bacterial small subunit ribosomal RNA
Source: RNAcentral